AAUAUUGGACAAUGGGGGAAACCCUGAUCCAGCCAUGCCGCGUGUGCGAUUAAGGCCUUCGGUUUGUGAAGCACUUUUCGCAGGGAAGAAAAGGCUCUGGCUAAUACCUGGAGCUGCUGACGGUACCUGCAGAAUAAGCACCGGCUAACUACCAGCCAGCAGCCGCGGUAAUACGUAGGGAGCAAGCGUUAAUCGGAAUUACUGGGCGUAAAGCGUGCGCAGGCGGUUCGGCAAGAAGGAUGUGAAAUCCCAGGGCUUAACCUUGGAACUGCAUUCUUAACUGCCGGGCUAGAGUAUGUCAGAGGGGGGUAGAAUUCCGCGUGUAGCAGUGAAAUGCGUAGAGAUGCGGAGGAAUACCGAUGGCGAAGGCAGCCCCCUGGGAUAAUACUGACGCUCAUGCACGAAAGCGUGGGGAGCAAAC
This 421-nucleotide ribosomal RNA is filed under the name uncultured bacterium. RNAcentral describes it as "partial 16S ribosomal RNA". It matches the Rfam family "Bacterial small subunit ribosomal RNA", at positions 360 to 773 of the family's 1533-position model. The record is from RNAcentral.